RNAcentral lists this small RNA (1083 nucleotides) under Rattus norvegicus (Norway rat). RNAcentral describes it as "uncharacterized LOC102550603". The record is from RNAcentral. Lineage: Eukaryota; Metazoa; Chordata; Mammalia; Rodentia; Muridae.
CAUCGUGGUACAGGAAGCCUGCGGGAGUGUGAGGCAGAGCAUGAUGGUACAGGAAGCUUUUGUCUGUGUGAAGCAGAACAUCAUGAUAUGGGAAGUUUGUGUCUGGUGAGAUGGAUAAUCAUGAUAGAAAAGCUUCUUUCUGUAUGAGGGAGAGCAUCAUGAUACAGGAAGCUUCUGUCAGAGGGAGAGCAUCUUGGUACAGGAAGCUUGUGGUGGUAUGAAGCAGAGCAUCAUGGUACUGAAAACCAUGGCGGUGUAAGGCACAGUUUCCACCGUCUUCUAAAAUAGUGCCCACCAGUUGGUGACAACCUAGUCAGCGCAUGAGCCAGUGAGGACAUUUCACAUUUCAGCCCUAACAGUUUCUACCACAUUUAGUCACACUGGUCACACCAGAAUAGCCUUGAUUAUUCAUUGUGCCUAAGGGCAUGGGUUCUCAUUAGAGAGCCUAGAUUUAUUCGUUCCAAGCAACUCCCUUUUCUGUUCUCUCGCAAAGUCCCAAACUGAAAGGACUUUUCUGGCCAUUACACACCAGAACUCGGUCACACCUUUUACCUACUGGGGUCAGAGUUCUGAUGCUGAGACUAAAAAAUGCCAGGAAGCAACCUCCCCCCAUGUAUUUCUGAGUUACCCACAGUAGCCUCCACUGGGGACCUUGGGUUCUAGUGAUUUGCCACCUCUCUGGUGGGCAUCACUGUGCUGAUGCUGACUUUCCUGUUUGGCACGUUGAUAUGAUAGUAAGGAUGCCCAGUGCCCACAGGUAACAUGUAUGCCUGACAUUGCUCCGAAGGAUUACAGACAUUAACCCCUUUUGUCUGGAUGACAGUCUUGCAAGCUGGGAGCUAUGAUGAUCCCCAUUUUUCAGGGACUGAGGCUGCAGAAUCACUGCUGUUAAAAUGGACUCUCUCCUUCCUGGCUAGACAGGAGAAGCCGGUUCUCUCAUCAGGAGCCGUCUCAGGAUGACUGCAGUUCACAGAUCCUCUGUGAGGACAGCGAUUGGUGACAAGAGCCAUCAGAGCAAGGGGCAGGCUGACAGGAGUGAGGGCAAAGUGGAGCCAGCCCAAAGGGGCUCAUUAGCUCAGCAUU